CCUACGGGUGACUGCAGUGGGGAAUAUUGGACAAUGGGGGGAACCCUGAUCCAGCGACGCCGCGUGAGUGAAGAAGUAUUUCGGUAUGUAAAGCUCUUUCAGCAGGGAAGAAAGAAAUGACGGUACCUUACUAAUAAGCCCCGGCUAACUACGUGCCAGCAGCCGCGGUAAUACGUAGGGGGCAAGCGUUAUCCGGAUUGACUGGGUGUAAAGGGAGCGUAGGCGGCUUGGCAAGUCUGAAGUGAAAGGCCGGGGCCCAACCCCCGGACUGCUAUGGAAACUGUAUGGCUGGAGUGCAGGAGAGGCAAGUGGAAUUCCUAGUGUAGCGGUGAAAUGCGUAGAUAUUAGGAGGAACACCAGUGGCGAAGGCGGCUUACUAGACUGUAACUGACGUUGAGGCUCGAAAGCGUGGGGAGCAAACAGGAUUAGAUACCCCUGUAGUC
RNAcentral lists this ribosomal RNA (443 nucleotides) under uncultured bacterium. RNAcentral's name for it is "partial 16S ribosomal RNA". It matches the Rfam family "Bacterial small subunit ribosomal RNA", at positions 338 to 795 of the family's 1533-position model. The record is from RNAcentral.